Molecule: ribosomal RNA, 441 nt
Filed under: uncultured bacterium
Lineage: Bacteria
Description: partial 16S ribosomal RNA
Rfam family: Bacterial small subunit ribosomal RNA
Source: RNAcentral
CCUACGGGUGGCAGCAGUGGGGGAUAUUGCACAAUGGGGGAAACCCUGAUGCAGCGACGCCGCGUGGGUGAAGAAGUAUUUCGGUAUGUAAAGCCCUAUCAGCAGGGAAGAAAGAAGACGGUACCUGACUAAGAAGCCCCGGCUAACUACGUGCCAGCAGCCGCGGUAAUACGUAGGGGGCGAGCGUUAUCCGGAUUCACUGGGUGUAAAGGGAGCGUAGACGGCCGUGCAAGCCAGGAGUGAAAGCCCGGGGCCCAACCCCGGGACUGCGCUUGGAACUGUGCGGCUGGAGUGCGGGAGGGGCAGGCGGAAUUCCUGGUGUAGCGGUGAAAUGCGUAGAUAUCAGGAGGAACACCGGCGGCGAAGGCGGCCUGCUGGACCGCGACUGACGUUGAGGCUCGAAAGCGUGGGGAGCGAACAGGAUUAGAUACCCGGGUAGUC